Molecule: long non-coding RNA, 3346 nt
Organism: Oncorhynchus tshawytscha (Chinook salmon)
Lineage: Eukaryota; Metazoa; Chordata; Actinopteri; Salmoniformes; Salmonidae
Source: Ensembl
CAGUCAGAGUGAUCAGAAUGAGUUUUUCCCCACAAAAGGGCUUAAUUACAGACAGAAAUACUCCUCAGUUUCAUCAGCUGUCUGGGUGGCUGGUCUCAGAUGAUCCCGCAGGCGAAGAAGCUGGUUGUGAGACCUGUUAGACAUGCCGACAUAGACAUACCAAAAUGACGUUGGAGGCGGCUUAUGGUAGAGAAAUAAAUAUUGAAUUUUUUUGCAGCAGAUUGGCACGCUCCCUCAGGGAACUACACAUUUUUAGAAUGGCCUUUUAUUGUCCCCAGCACAAGGUGCACCUGUGUAAUGAUCAUACAGUUUAAUCAGCUUCUUGAUAUGCCACACCUGUCAGGUGGAUGGAUUAUCUUGGCAGAGAAAUGUUCACUAACAGGGAUGUAAACACAUUUGUGCACAAAAUUUGAGAGAAAUAAACUUUUUGUGAAUAUGGAACAUUUCUGUUUUAUUUCAGCUCAUGAAACAUGGGACCAACACUUUACAUGGUGUAUUUAUAUUUUUGUUCAAUAUCAAACAAACAUGCCUCUCUGACAUGUAAAAUACUGAAAUCACAGCAGCUCUAUUCAUAGAAUUUUUAUCUAGAAUGUUCCAAAACCUUUUCCUACUGAACAUGGCCCUGGUUUUAAAAAUGGCAGUUAUUGGCAACACCAUGGCAACAACACAACCACAACCAACUCUGAUUGGCCAGUCAAAAGACACAACCAACUCUGAUUGGCCAGUCAAAAGACACAACCAACUCUGAUUGGCCAGUCAAAAGACACAACAAACUCUGAUUGGCCAGUCAAAAGACACAACAAACUCUGAUUGGCCAGUUAAGCCAGACAGAGGUACUGUAUGUAGUAAAAAAACAACUUUAAAAAGCAGGAAUAAUAAACAAUAAUAAAACAAUGCAAUACUGUGAGAUCAUGGCACAGAUAUAGACAGACUGACCGGCAGAUAUAUGACCAUAGAAAUAGACACAGGCAGGGUAUAGAUAAUACUGGUGUGGUACUUUAAAAAUACCGCAGCGUUGUUGGAGCAACACUACGUAGUUGUGUGUUCGUAUCCAUGGUUACCAUAGGUAGAGCCCAGCCUCGUUCCAGACACAGCGGAGAUAACGUCAGAGCAGGUCCACUGACUACAUCUCCCAGAGGGCUUUUUCCAAAAUAAAAGUCCCCGUGAUAUCUGCACCGGUUGUUCACGAGUAUUGAGUGAACCUCGUGUCAUGUAAGCUACAACAGUACUGUGUGUCUCUGCGUGAUGGUGGACAAGGUUCAGUUUCAAACUGUCACUUCUAGAGAUAUGGGUUUAACAGAUCCCAAGGUCCUGUUUCAAACUGUCACUUCUAGAGAUAUGGGUUUAACAGAUCCCAAGGUCCUGUUUCAAACUGUCACUUCUAGAGAUAUGGGUUUAACAGAUCCCAAGGUCCUGUUUCAAACUGUCACUUCUAGAGAUAUGGGUUUAACAGAUCCCAAGGUUCCGUUGUUUCCAUAUUGGUCAGUGCGUGACCUGAACUCUUAUUGUGAAACACUUUGUUCCAGAUGCAUUUCCUGGGCUCCAUGUAACAGUUCCAUGACACAGAAUAGCCCACCAGGUAACCAACCAGCCAAGUCCAUAUCUCAGAAAGGUAUAGCCACACCUUUUACUCCAUACUGUAGUUACAGCUCCAUAAUCCAUACAGGGCAGAGGACCAUAAACCAUAGCCAGUCUAUUCCCCAUGUAGGUACGAGGUGAGCCAUGUAAUCCCAUCCCAGGUAGGUCCAUCCCAGAUCAGUUUAUCCAGGUAGGUCCAUCCCAGGUAGCCAUAGACAGGUAGGUCCAUCUCGGGUAGCCAUAGACAGGUAUGUCCAUCUCGGGUAGGUCCAUCCCAGGUAGGUCCAUCCCAGGUAGGUCCAUCCCAGGUAGCCAUAGACAGGUAGGUCCAUCCCAGAUCAGUUUAUCCAGGUAGGUCCAUCCCAGGUAGCCAUAGACAGGUAGGUCCAUCCCAGAUCAGUUUAUCCAGGUAGGUCCAUCCCAGGUAGCCAUAGACAGGUAUGUCCAUCUCGGGUAGCCACAGACAGGUAGGUCCAUCCCAGAUCAGUUUAUCCAGGUAGGUCCAUCCCAGGUAGCCAUAGACAGGUAUGUCCAUCCCAGGUAGCCAUAGACAGGUAUGUCCAUCUCGGGUAGGUCCAUCCCAGGUAGGUCCAUCCCAGGUAGCCAUAGACAGGUAUGUCCAUCCCAGGUAGCCAUAGACAGGUAUGUCCAUCUCGGGUAGCCACAGACAGGUAGGUCCAUCCCAGGUAGCCAUAGACAGGUAUGUCCAUCUCGGGUAGCCAUAGACAGGUAUGUCCAUCUCGGGUAGGUCCAUCCCAGGUAUGUCCAUCCCAGGUAGCCAUAGACAGGUAUGUCCAUCCCAGGUAGCCAUAGAUAGGUAGGUCCAUCCCAGGUAGCCACAGACAGGUAGGUCCAUCCCAGGUAGCCAUAGACAGGUAUGUCCAUCUCGGGUAGGUCCAUCCCAGGUAUGUCCAUCCCAGGUAGCCAUAGACAGGUAUGUCCAUCCCAGGUAGCCAUAGACAGGUAGGUCCAUCCCAGGUAGCCACAGACAGGUAGGUCCAUCCCAGGUAGCCAUAGACAGGUAUGUCCAUCCCAGGUAGCCAUAGACAGGUAUGUCCAUACAUGCAGCCAUAGACAGGUAGGUCCAUCCCAGGUAGCCAUAGACAGGUAUGUCCAUACAUGCAGCCAUAGUCCAAGUAAAUCUUAGCCUGCAGGUAUGUCUCCGUCCUCUGUCCCAGGUUAGAUUUGUCCCAGGGCCAGGCUAAACCAGACUUAACCCCGGUACAGUCAUGGUUCUGGCACCAGUGUGGCCCCAGUUAGGCCCUGUGGUCUCAGGACUGGUUGUCCCCAGUAGGGGUUGGUGGUUCGAGUGACAGUUCUUCGUCAGACAGCCCCGUUUCCACAGCGAUCACCAGGGAUGCCACAGACGCACUGCUGGUCAUGGGCUGGAACUCACCUAGAGAGAGAGAGACAGGGGGAGGAGGAGACAAAAGAAGGAUGAGAGAGACCGAGAGAGGGAGAGAGAAAGAGGGAUGAGAGAGAGAAAGAAGAGGGGGGAGGGAGAGAAAGAAAGAGGGAGAGGUGAGGAUGCAAUUCAUUAAAGCUGCCACCAGGUGGCACUAUGAGUGCUGUUUGUGUGUGUGCGUAUGUGUGCGUGUGUGUGCGUGGUGUGACUGUGGGCUGCGUGGUGUGACUGUGCGUGUCGCUAGCCUCGCCCGCCGCCCGGCGCUAGCCUCGCCCGCCGCCCGGCGCUAGCCUCGCCCGCCGCCCGGCGCUAGCCUCGCCCGCCGCUAGUCUCGCCCGCCGCUAGUCUCGCCCGCCGCCUGUC